UUACGUGUUCUAACGCAUACCCAGAUGGUCUAACAGUUUGACUCUGGAGUCAGCGGUGAUAAUGACAGAUUCCAAGACUCUCCGUUCCCCGUGUUCUUGGAUUAUUCCCGUGGUGAUGUGAUCCUGCGCUCAGAAGUUUGGACAGUGGCCUCCUGUUUCCCCAGCUUUCUGACUGGCAGAUGUCUCUGGAUUGGCUAGAACACCUGCAGGUGUCUCCUAUGGCUGGCGGCUGGAAUCUGGCUUUCAUCGGUGCUAAAGACCCAACCUCAGGAAGCAAAAAGAAUCAGGUGUUGGAGCCUAGCAGUCCUGAACCCUAUUUUGUUCAGAUGGCGAGGAACAGGCAUUCCUGAGGACUGCAUCCGUGGCAGCUGAUGUGUCCAAUUUAGCCCCAGAAGGGAAAGGGUUCUCUUUCCUCUACAAUUUGGAGGUGCAGGGGUUUGGGAAAGAUGAGCUAACCCAUUUGCGUUUCACCAUCUGUAAAAUGAGAAUGAAAGUAUCCACCUUGGGCCAGUGAGAUGGCUCGGUGAGUGAAAGUCACUUGUCACUAAGCCUGAAGACCUGAGCUUCCAUCCGUAAGAACUGACUCACUGUAGGUCGUCCUCUCCCCUCCAGCCGUGCACCACGGUGCUCAUAUGCACCCAAGCACUCACAUCCCACACUAAAUAAGUAAACCAACAAACACAAUGGUGAAAGUAAUCUACCCCGGAGACCUCUUGGGCCUUUGCUGUUCUGGAAUCUCUGUUCGUUGAACAUCAGGUGGUUACACAGCUGGUUCUCCUUUUGUAAUAUUAAAGCACAACAUGAUUAAGCUG
Molecule: long non-coding RNA, 812 nt
Filed under: Rattus norvegicus (Norway rat)
Lineage: Eukaryota; Metazoa; Chordata; Mammalia; Rodentia; Muridae
Description: long non-coding RNA NONRATT027664
Source: RNAcentral